AUUGAACGCUGGCGGCAUGCCUUACACAUGCAAGUCGAACGGCAGCGGGCCCUUCGGGGUGCCGGCGAGUGGCGAACGGGUGAGUAAUGCAUCAGAACGUACCCGGGAGAGGGGGAUAACCGGCCGAAAGGCUGGCUAAUACCGCAUGAACUCGGAAGAGCAAAGCGGGGGACCUUCGGGCCUCGCGCUCUCGGAGCGGCCGAUGUCCGAUUAGGCUAGUUGGUGGGGUAAAGGCCCACCAAGGCGACGAUCGGUAGCGGGUCUGAGAGGACGAUCCGCCACACUGGGACUGAGACACGGCCCAGACUCCUACGGGAGGCAGCAGUGGGGAAUCUUGGACAAUGGGCGCAAGCCUGAUCCAGCAAUGCCGCGUGGGUGAAGAAGGCCUUCGGGUUGUAAAGCCCUUUCGGCGGGGAAGAAAUCGGUCAGGCGAAUAGUCUGGCCGGAUGACGGUACCCGCAGAAGAAGCACCGGCUAACUACGUG
Molecule: ribosomal RNA, 485 nt
Filed under: uncultured bacterium
Lineage: Bacteria
Description: partial 16S ribosomal RNA
Rfam family: Bacterial small subunit ribosomal RNA
Source: RNAcentral